GCAUAUCAUUAAGCGGAGGAAAAGAAACUAACAAGGAUUCCCUUAGUAACGGCGAGUGAACCGGGAAAAGCUCAAAUUUGUAAUCUGGCUGUCUUCGAUAGUCCGAGUUGUAAUCUAUAGACGUGUUUUCCGUGCUGGACCGUAUCUAAGUCCCUUGGAACAGGGUAUCAAAGAGGGUGACAAUCCCGUGCUUGAUACGACCACCAGUGCUCUGUGAUACACGUUUUACGAGUCGAGUUGUUUGGGAAUGCAGCUCAAAAUGGGUGGUAAAUUCCAUCUAAAGCUAAAUAUUGGCGAGAGACCGAUAGCGAACAAGUACCGUGAGGGAAAGAUGAAAAGCACUUUGGAAAGAGAGUUAAACAGUACGUGAAAUUGUUGAAAGGGAAACGAUUGAAGUCAGUCGUGUUCUUCAGAUUCAGCUGGUUCUUCCAGUCUACUUCUGUGGAACGGGUCAACAUCAGUUUUGUCCGGUGGAUAAAGGUAGUAGGAAUGUGACUCCCCCGGGAGUGUUAUAGCCUAUUAUUGCAUACACUGGGUGAGACUGAGGACUGCAGCUCGCCUUUUGGCCGGUCUUCGGACACGUUCGAGCUUAGGAUGUUGACAUAAUGGCUUUAAACGACCCGUCUUGAAACACGGACC
RNAcentral lists this ribosomal RNA (639 nucleotides) under Cutaneotrichosporon jirovecii. RNAcentral describes it as "eukaryotic LSU rRNA". It matches the Rfam family "Eukaryotic large subunit ribosomal RNA", at positions 38 to 667 of the family's 3401-position model. The record is from RNAcentral. Lineage: Eukaryota; Fungi; Basidiomycota; Tremellomycetes; Trichosporonales; Trichosporonaceae.